GUGCCAGCAGCCGCGGUAAUACGGGGGGGGCAAGCGUUGUUCGGAAUUACUGGGCGUAAAGGGCUCGUAGGCGGCCGACUAAGUCAGACGUGAAAUCCCUCGGCUUAACCGGGGAACUGCGUCUGAUACUGGACGGCUUGAGUUCGGGAGAGGGAUGUGGAAUUCCAGGUGUAGCGGUGAAAUGCGUAGAUAUCUGGAGGAACACCGGUGGCGAAGGCGGCAUCCUGGACCGACACUGACGCUGAGGAGCGAAAGCCAGGGGAGCAAACGGGAUUAGAAACCCGUGUAGUCC
This 292-nucleotide ribosomal RNA is filed under the name uncultured bacterium. Its description in RNAcentral is "partial 16S ribosomal RNA". It matches the Rfam family "Bacterial small subunit ribosomal RNA", at positions 505 to 796 of the family's 1533-position model. The record is from RNAcentral.